This 406-nucleotide ribosomal RNA is filed under the name uncultured bacterium. RNAcentral's name for it is "partial 16S ribosomal RNA". It matches the Rfam family "Bacterial small subunit ribosomal RNA", at positions 30 to 526 of the family's 1533-position model. The record is from RNAcentral.
AUUGAACGCUGGCGGCAGGCCUAACACAUGCAAGUCGAACGAGUGGCGGACGGGUGAGUAAUGUCUGGGAAACUGCCUGAUGGCGGGGGAUAACUACUGGAAACGGUAGCUAAUACCGCAUACCAUCAGAUGUGCCCAUAUGGGAUUAGCUAGUUGGUUGGGUAACGGCUCACCAAGGCGAAGAUCCCUAGCUGGUCUGAGAGGUUGACCAGCCACACGGGACAUGAGACACGGUCCAGACUCCUACGGGAGGCAGCAGUGGGGAAUAUUGAAAAAUGGGCGCAAGCCUGAUGCAGCAAUGCCGCGUGUAUGAAGAAGGCCUUAGGGUUGUAAAGUACUUUCAGCGGGGAGGCGUUACCCGCAGAAGAAGCACCGGCUAACUCCGUGCCAGCAGCCGCGGUAAUAC